GUCAUUUGCUUUCCUUCUUAUUGCUUAUUCGCCUCACUCAUUAUCUCCCAAAAUCUCAUUUCCACGAUCAUCGUUUUACUCGUUUCCACGAUCGGUAUCAGUGCUUCAGUUUCGUGGAAAGUUGGGGCCCCUGACUUUUGCCUACAUAAAGGAUCGAUAAGGAAUGUGAGACACAAAGGCACUAACAUCGAAAAGAAAGCAAACAUGGGGAGUUUUUGCUUCCGAGCUAGAAAGGAAGGAGAUGAUAACAAAUACAAGCCCAAUGAUAUUAUGACAGCAGGUGCUGCUGCUGCUGCUCCAACCAAAACUUGUGAUGAAACUCAUGGUACCACUACAGAUCAUAAUCAUGGAACUCAUGAUACCACAGCUCAUCAUCAUGGUAGUCAUGAUACCACAGGCCAUCAUCUUCAUCAUCAUACCGUUGGUCACGAUGGAGGCGCUCAUUUUAGUGGUGAUGGCGGUUUCUGAGGUUCCAUUCUGUUUUGUGUUUUAAGUUUGAUGUCAAUUUAUAUUUUGUUUGGUUUGUAUUUUUUUUCUUUCAGUUUAAUGUUUUUAAUAGCGUUUGCCUUUUUUCUAUUAUUUAAAUAUUCUUGUAAUAAUUGAAA
This is a long non-coding RNA of Glycine soja, 605 nucleotides long. RefSeq lists it as uncharacterized. The transcript is spliced from 2 exons. Lineage: Eukaryota; Viridiplantae; Streptophyta; Magnoliopsida; Fabales; Fabaceae. The record is from RefSeq and is a predicted model, not a curated record.